This 468-nucleotide ribosomal RNA is filed under the name uncultured bacterium. RNAcentral describes it as "partial 16S ribosomal RNA". It matches the Rfam family "Bacterial small subunit ribosomal RNA", at positions 28 to 507 of the family's 1533-position model. The record is from RNAcentral.
GACGAACGCUGGCGGCGUGCUUAACACAUGCAAGUCGAACGGAAAGGCCCUGCUUUUGUUGGGUGCUCGAGUGGCGAACGGGUGAGUAACACGUGAGUAACCUGCCCUUGACUUUGGGAUAACUUCAGGAAACUGGGGCUAAUACCGGAUAUGAGCUCCUGCUGCAUGGUGGGGGUUGGAAAGUUUCGGCGGUUGGGGCUGGACUCGCGGCUUAUCCGCUUGUUGGUGGGGUAGUUGCUUACCAAGGGUUUGACGGGUAGCCGGCCUGAGAGGGUGACCGGCCACAUUGGGACUGAGAUACGGCCCAGACUCCUACGGGAGGCAGCAGUGGGGAAUAUUGCACAAUGGGCGGAAGCCUGAUGCAGCAACGCCGCGUGCGGGAUGACGGCCUUCGGGUUGUAAACCGCUUUCGCCUGUGACGAAGCGUGAGUGACGGUAAUGGGUAAAGAAGCACCGGCUAACUACGUG